GGCGAACGGGUGAGUAACACGUGGGUGAUCUGCCUUGCACUCUGGGAUAAGCUUGGGAAACUGGGUCUAAUACCGGAUAGGAACCGUCUUUAGUGUGGUGGUUGGAAAGUUUUUCGGUGCAAGAUGAGCUCGCGGCCUAUCAGCUUGUUGGUGGGGUAAUGGCCCACCAAGGCGUCGACGGGUAGCCGGCCUGAGAGGGUGUACGGCCACAUUGGGGCUGAGAUACGGCCCAG
Molecule: ribosomal RNA, 233 nt
Filed under: uncultured Actinomycetales bacterium
Lineage: Bacteria; Bacillati; Actinomycetota; Actinomycetes; Actinomycetales
Description: partial 16S ribosomal RNA
Rfam family: Bacterial small subunit ribosomal RNA
Source: RNAcentral